This 384-nucleotide long non-coding RNA is filed under the name Bos taurus (domestic cattle). RNAcentral describes it as "long non-coding RNA NONBTAT020400". Lineage: Eukaryota; Metazoa; Chordata; Mammalia; Artiodactyla; Bovidae. The record is from RNAcentral.
UUUUUUUUUUUUUCUCUAAAUUUCUAGGAUUCUCAUGAUUUGAAUAUUGAUGAACUCUUUGACUUGAACAUUUUGUUUCUUCUAAUUGUUCAUCUUUUCCUGAUAAUUAUAAGGUACACCAGCAGGACGGAAUCAACUGUGCCCUUUAUAAAAGGUGGAUUUUUGAAACCAUAGAACCUUGUUUUAUUUUAGUCAAACGUGACCCUAGACUUCUCUCUUCUGACUUCUCCCUCCUCCUCUAAAACAGCCCGUGAAAAGAAAAGUUAACUUUUAAAUGUUCUUCUAAUUCUGUUCGGUUGGCUUGUUCUUGUUCCUCAUAGACAAAAAUUGGAGUCCUCCAAAGGAGAAUUCGGGAUGUUAGAAGUGGGAUGGGGUGAGAACUGG